Molecule: RNase P RNA, 235 nt
Filed under: Emcibacter sp.
Lineage: Bacteria; Pseudomonadati; Pseudomonadota; Alphaproteobacteria; Emcibacterales; Emcibacteraceae
Description: partial RNase P RNA component class A
Rfam family: Bacterial RNase P class A
About the family: Ribonuclease P (RNase P) is a ubiquitous endoribonuclease, found in archaea, bacteria and eukarya as well as chloroplasts and mitochondria. Its best characterised activity is the generation of mature 5'-ends of tRNAs by cleaving the 5'-leader elements of precursor-tRNAs.
Source: RNAcentral
GUGCGGUAAGAGCGCACCGCUCCGCUGGUAACAGGGGAGGCAGGGUAAACCCCACCGGGUGCAAAAUCGAAUAGGAACGUCGGUCUUCGCAAGAAGACAGCCCUUCUUCCGGGGUGUCGUUCGGGUAGAUUGCAAGAGUGUGCUGGCAACAGUAUGCCUAGAUGAAUGGUCAUCCAUCUGGUUCGCUUUUGGGCGAACCGGGGGACAGAACCCGGCUUACAGACCAUCUGGAUAU